AUGAUGUCUUUUGACUUCAUAUUUAUUUUGCAUGUCAUGAAAGAACUUAUGGGAAUCAUGGACAUGCUAUGCAAAAAGUUGCAACAAAAGUCUCAAGAUAUUGUGAAUGCCAUGGAUGAUGUUAAGACUACCAAAAUGUUGAUCCAGGAGCUAAGAGAUAAUGGUUGGAACAAGCUUAAAGCUGACGUGCUUUCAUUCUGUGCCAAACACGGAGUUCAAACACCACAUUUGAGUGAGUUAUAUGUGGAUUUCAUUAAUUCUCGUGCGGAGGAUGAGACUACAGUUGAGCACCAUUAUCGCUGUGACAUUUUCAUGGUUGCUGUUGAUCAGCAAGCACAAGAGCUGAAUUGUAGACUCAACAAACAAGCAACAGAGCUUCUCAUCCUCUGUACUCCCUUGGACCCAAAAGAUUCAUUCCGUUCAUUUAACAUAGAUAAUAUAUGUUCUCUUCUAUCCUGCUGA
This 462-nucleotide ribosomal RNA is filed under the name Triticum aestivum (bread wheat). RNAcentral's name for it is "partial small subunit ribosomal RNA". The record is from RNAcentral. Lineage: Eukaryota; Viridiplantae; Streptophyta; Magnoliopsida; Poales; Poaceae.